Molecule: ribosomal RNA, 501 nt
Filed under: uncultured bacterium
Lineage: Bacteria
Description: partial 16S ribosomal RNA
Rfam family: Bacterial small subunit ribosomal RNA
Source: RNAcentral
AUUGAACGCUCGCGGCAGGCUUAACACAUGCAAGUCGAGCGGAGAUGAGGUGCUUGCACCUUAUCUUAGCGGCGGACGGGUGAGUAAUGCUUAGGAAUCUGCCUAUUAGUGGGGGACAACAUCCCGAAAGGAAUGCUAAUACAGCAUACGUCCUACGGGAGAAAGCAGGGGAUCUUCGGACCUUGCGCUAAUAGAUGAGGCUAAGUCGGAUUAGCUAGUUGGUGGGGUAAAGGCCUACCAAGGCGACGAUCUGUAGCGGGUCUGAGAGGAUGAUCCGCCACACUGGGACUGAGACACGGCCCAGACUCCUACGGGAGGCAGCAGUGGGGAAUAUUGGACAAUAGGGGAAACCCUGAUCCAGCCAUGCCGCGUGUGUGAAGAAGGCCUUAUGGUUGUAAAGCACUUUAAGCGAGGAGGAGGCUACUGAGACUAAUACUCUUGGAUAGUGGACGUUACUCGCAGAAUAAGCACCGGCUAACUCUGUGCCAGCAGCCGCAGUAA